UAGAGUUUGAUCCUGGCUCAGGAUGAACGCUAGCGGCAGGCUUAACACAUGCAAGUCGAGGGGCAUCGGGAGGGAAGCUUGCUUUCCUUGCCGGCGACCGGCGCACGGGUGAGUAACACGUAUGCAACCUGCCCUCUUCAGGGGGACAACCUUCCGAAAGGGAGGCUAAUCCCGCGUAUAUCGGUUUCGGGCAUCCGAGAUCGAGGAAAGAUUCAUCGGAAGAGGAUGGGCAUGCGGCGCAUUAGGUAGACGGCGGGGUAACGGCCCACCGUGCCGACGAUGCGUAGGGGUUCUGAGAGGAAGGCCCCCCACACUGGUACUGAGACACGGACCAGACUCCUACGGGAGGCAGCAGUGAGGAAUUUUGGUCAAUGGCCGAGAGGCUGAACCAGCCAAGUCGCGUGAGGGAAGAAUGUCCUAAGGAUUGUAAACCUCUUUUGUCGGGGAGCAAAAAGGCUCUGCGGAGUCGUAUUGAGAGUACCCGAAGAAAAAGCAUCGGCUAACUCCGUGCCAGCAGCCGCGGUAAUACGGAGGAUGCGAGCGUUAUCCGGAUUUAUUGGGUUUAAAGGGUGCGCAGGCGGCGUGUCAAGCAAGCGGUAAAAUAGCGGGGCUCAACCCCGUCGAGCCGUUUGAACUGGCGCGCUUGAGUUCAGGCGAGGUAGGCGGAAUUCGUGGUGUAGCGGUGAAAUGCAUAGAUAUCACGAAGAACUCCGAUUGCGAAGGCAGCUUACCAGUCUGCGACUGACGCUCAGGCACGAAAGUGUGGGUAUCGAACAGGAUUAGAUACCCUGGUAGUCCACACAGUAAACGAUGAGCGCUAGGUGUCCGGGUCGAAUGAGGCUUGGGUGCCCGAGCGAAAGCGUUAAGCGCUCCACCUGGGGAGUACGCCGGCAACGGUGAAACUCAAAGGAAUUGACGGGGGCCCGCACAAGCGGAGGAACAUGUGGUUUAAUUCGAUGAUACGCGAGGAACCUUACCCGGGCUCAAACGACUCAGGAAUAUAUUGGAAACGAUGUAGCCAGCAAUGGUCUGAGUCGAGGUGCUGCAUGGUUGUCGUCAGCUCGUGCCGUGAGGUGUCGGCUUAAGUGCCAUAACGAGCGCAACCCCUACCGCCAGUUGCCAACGGGUAAAGCCGGGAACUCUGGCGGGACUGCCGGCGCAAGCUGCGAGGAAGGCGGGGAUGACGUCAAAUCAGCACGGCCCUUACGUCCGGGGCGACACACGUGUUACAAUGGCAGGUACAGCGGGAAGCCACCUGGUGACAGGGAGCGGAACCCGAAAGCCUGUCUCAGUUCGGAUUGGAGUCUGCAACUCGACUCCAUGAAGCUGGAUUCGCUAGUAAUCGCGCAUCAGCCAUGGCGCGGUGAAUACGUUCCCGGGCCUUGCACUCACCGCCCGUCA
This 1401-nucleotide ribosomal RNA is filed under the name uncultured bacterium. RNAcentral's name for it is "16S ribosomal RNA". It matches the Rfam family "Bacterial small subunit ribosomal RNA". The record is from RNAcentral.